UGGGGAAUAUUGCACAAUGGGCGCAAGCCUGAUGCAGCCAUGCCGCGUGUGUGAAGAAGGCCUUCGGGUUGUAAAGCACUUUCAGCGAGGAGGAAGGUGGUGAGCUUAAUACGCUCAUCAAUUGACGUUACUCGCAGAAGAAGCACCGGCUAACUCCGUGCCAGCAGCCGCGGUAAUACGGAGGGUGCAAGCGUUAAUCGGAAUUACUGGGCGUAAAGCGCACGCAGGCGGUUUGUUAAGUCAGAUGUGAAAUCCCCGGGCUCAACCUGGGAACUGCAUUUGAAACUGGCAAGCUAGAGUCUCGUAGAGGGGGGUAGAAUUCCAGGUGUAGCGGUGAAAUGCGUAGAGAUCUGGAGGAAUACCGGUGGCGAAGGCGGCCCCCUGGACGAAGACUGACGCUCAGGUGCGAAAGCGUGGGGAGCAAAACAGGAUUAGNUACCCUGGUAGUCACGCUAUAAAACGAUGUCGAUUUUGGAGGUUGUGCCCCUUGAGGCGUGGCUUCCGGAGCUAACGCGUUAAAUCGACCGCCUGGGGGAGUAC
This 540-nucleotide ribosomal RNA is filed under the name uncultured bacterium. RNAcentral describes it as "partial 16S ribosomal RNA". It matches the Rfam family "Bacterial small subunit ribosomal RNA", at positions 355 to 883 of the family's 1533-position model. The record is from RNAcentral.